CGCCGUGGUGGCCGAGGAUGCAAGGCGUGGGGGAGCUGGCCAAGGCGUGCACCACCAUCAUCUGGAUCGGGUCGGCGCUGCACGCGGCG
Molecule: microRNA precursor, 89 nt
Filed under: Triticum aestivum (bread wheat)
Lineage: Eukaryota; Viridiplantae; Streptophyta; Magnoliopsida; Poales; Poaceae
Description: miR9780 stem-loop (tae-MIR9780)
Source: miRBase by way of RNAcentral